CUGAUAUUAAACAUUCUUUUGCAUGAUUUAUAUAUUUCUGGUUUUAAUGCUCAGGCAUUUGUGAGCCAGCUAUUUUUCCAUUUUGUUACAGUGGUGCAGAUUUUAACACUGUUUCUGCAGUUCUGCAAAUAACGAUUCUGUGUAUAUGUCGUUUGUUUAUCUGAGGUUUUAUUUAUCCCAUUUUAAUGACCAGAUUUUUUUUCCCAAGUAUUUCCAUUAAACCUAAAUGAAAGGGGGUGUACUUGAAGUCAUGUGCAUGUUAUUGAGCUGUGCCUUAAAAGUGCCACUAGAGGGGGCAGCAAGCUGUUCUAUUUUUUCAGUGAUUUUAUUGUGUUGUUUGUACAGAAUAAUUUCCAGCCAAAAUCUGUAGAGCAGGUUUUCAUUUUUGCUAUAAUUUUUUGUUCAUUCUCCAGGACUGUCUGUUCUUUCAGUCCCCACCUCCUGCCGGCGUAGGAGGGAAAUCUGUUCCUUUCUCUAUAAUUGCCCCACUGGCUUCUAUAUUUGGAUCUAUGUCCUCUGUCCUCUCCUCUCACUCGCUGUUGCGCUCUUGCUGUUUUGUCACUGUUAUUGAUUCACAUUCUCGCUGUGCUGCAAAGCAAAACCAGCCAGAAUCGGUGCAAGGAAGAAGCAAGGAAGCAUCGACGUAAAUCUGCGCCACUGUGGAAAUGAACGCUGGCGUUAGGAGCUUCUUUAGUCUGCUGCUAAUCACACACUUUAGCAGAGCCCAGAAAAUCAGUGAUGACUCCAUCAACACCCCCCACCCUCCUGUGCUGUUCAGCAUCAGCCCCCAAUCCUACAUCAGCUUCCUGCUGCUGGGCCUGACCGUCGUCGUGUUCGGCGGCGUCUAUCUCUGGAUCCUCAGAUACGUCUGCAUCGGCUGCUGCCAGCCCAUCACAGUGGGCGUUGAAUCAGAAGCCCUGGCAGGGAUGGUGUGAAGUCAUCGGCCCCUGUCUGAUUGAGUUGGGCUGUUACCAAGUCACACAGGACAUGUACCUCGGUUUUACAGGUAAAAGACUUGGCCUAUCCGACUUGUCAUCAAUUUUGCAAAAGAAAGUAGGUGUCAGGGAAGAUAACUAAGUGUGUAGUCAUUUGUGCUCCCAUAUAAGUUUUUUUUUUCAAGUGCGGUUCCAGAGCGCUCAGUGACAGUGUCAAUGCUGGAAAAUAAGAAAGUAGGAGAAAAGUAGUUCUUUUGCUCUUACUUCUACACCCUGCUUACCUGAUAUCUGGCAAACAUCUGUUGGACACUGCCUGAAAAAUCGCUAAAAAGCUACUGAGCAGUGAACGUGAGACACAAUUGUAAAGCUGGGUGGCAGAAAUUUAAGAAAAAGUUCAGCUAAUAAGCUGAUAAAAUGCUUUGUAUCUUUGCUUUAGGGUUUUCUUUGUAGUUUAUUGACUGUUUUAUUUCGAAACCCUUUUUUCAUGGUUUCUUUUCUUACUUCCUGCCUUUCUCCUUCACAAGUGGGUUUUGUGUGUAACAAUUAGCCAUUUAGUGUAUUUAUAAUGGCGUCCCCCUUUUCUGCUGUCAAGUUAGUUUGUGUCUAGUUUUAUUUGUUUUGUUCCUGGGUAUCUGUCUCAGCUUCAGCAUUAUGUUAAAAACAAUCCAUAAAAACAUACUACAGUGUCUUCUUUUAAAACAAAGACAUUUUCUAUUAUUUUUUCUCCAUAUAUUCCACUCAACUGGUUAUUUUUGAGCAUUUACACACUUUAUGGGGAAAAAAAUUACCAGUUGAAGUUUUUGUGAAAGUACAGCCUGUUGAUUUCUCUGCUCGUGGCAUUUCUGCUCAGCUGAAUGACACAAAUAAAUCUCCUUUUCUUCUUCAAUCUUGCCUUGUGUUAUGGGGCCUGUGUAGGGUGACCAGAUCACAGUCUAAAAGUAAAUAUAACAAAAAUAAAGAGAAGCUGAAGUUUGUUCUUAUUGUCUAUAUUAUCUGUUAAUUCUUCCUCCUCCUGGAGGAGGAGGAGUAUUUAAUCUGUUCUGUUUGUUAACAGUCUAGCAUGCAAUCGGAUCUAGGUCACAAUAAAUGUGAAAAUCUGAAAAAACUUUAUAUUACUCAAAUUUUUUAAUGGAUGGAUCUUCUAACUUCACAACAAUAUGCUAGACCUUGGUGGACAUUAAUACCUUGGCUGGCUAAACAUUUGACUUUGACCUUCAUUUUUAGUGCCCAAAUUUGAAGAAACCAUAUCAAGUAAUCUGUCAUAUUAAAAGUACAGAAAACUUUCUUCUUUUAUUC
Oreochromis aureus is the source of this 2231-nucleotide long non-coding RNA. NCBI's taxonomy places the organism in Eukaryota, Metazoa, Chordata, Actinopteri, Cichliformes, Cichlidae. The record is from Ensembl.